Zea mays is the source of this 736-nucleotide RNA transcript. It is a transcript of the gene named mitochondrial-processing peptidase alpha subunit pseudogene, with no coding region annotated. Lineage: Eukaryota; Viridiplantae; Streptophyta; Magnoliopsida; Poales; Poaceae. The record is from RefSeq and is marked validated. The transcript is spliced from 2 exons.
AUAUUCUAAAAUAGCCUCUGAGACAUCUGUAGUAUGUUGUCUUUAUUUUUAUAUGGUUACACAUUCCAUCCAAUCCCUCAGCAGUAGAUGAUGAUAAUAGGGUGUUCAUAUUUUCUAUUCAGGGGCCAUCUGAUUCUGUUGGAGUUUAUGUUGAUUAUGGUUCUGAGCAGGUGCCGAUCAGCUGUUGAAGACACAAUGGACUUUGCAUUCACUACCAACAAGAGCGAAUUAUGUGAGAUGCAUGAAAUUGAGGCAAUAGGUGGUUGUUCCAAAGCAUCUACUUGUCGUGAGAUGAUGAGCUACACUUGUGGAGCCUUAAACACUUAUAUGCCUGGAAUUCCAGGUUGAGGUGCUUAUUGAUUGUGUACGCAACCCUGCUUUCUUAAUUGGGAGCUCAAUGAAUAGAUUUUAAGGCUAAAGGCAGAGCUUGCGAAAUCAUCAAGUGACCUUGAAACUUUCCUUUUAAAGGCUCUUCGUUCUACUGCCUAUUCUGGUGCUUUAGCAAACCCACUAAUCACAAUAGAAUGUUUAGCUAGCAGAUUAAAUGCAGAUGUCAUGGAGAAAUUUAUUCUUGUGAUUUAUUUAUUUUAUGUAUUUUGUCAUGUUUGGUUAUUUUAUACCGGCCUUUAAGUUAUAUUAACAAAGGCUCAAGAAGGAUGAGGAUGCUAGGAAAAUUAGUUGAGAAUUAAUGUGGAAAGAUAGACUAUUUGAUGGAGUUAUACACAAGGAAAAUUGU